This is a long non-coding RNA of Daucus carota subsp. sativus, 3877 nucleotides long. RefSeq lists it as uncharacterized. The transcript has 13 exons. Lineage: Eukaryota; Viridiplantae; Streptophyta; Magnoliopsida; Apiales; Apiaceae. The record is from RefSeq and is a predicted model, not a curated record.
UGUUGAUCAACCCAUUAAAUUCUAGAUCGCCUCAUUCAAAUUAACACUAAGGAAAAAUAUUUCGGAUCUUUUAAUGACCCGACCCGGUAAAGACCGGAUAUGCAGUAUGUUCUUACCAGGUCAGUAGCUGCAUUGAAUGCAGUCUCUUCGAUCAAGCCACUCAUUGCGAUUUCUGUUUGGCAAGUCUAGCCUUCAUCAGUCUAUCGAACAGAAAAAUCCAAACGUGUUCCUGCUUGCUCGCAUCCAUGAAGAUCAGCUUUUGUGUGGACGAAGGCGUUGUGUUCGAUCAUAUGCUUAUACGAUGAUCGAGCUGUGUUUUUGCCGAAUAGAUAUGACUGCGUUUAGCCAUCCAUGCGCGUCGUUCAUGUGAAAUUUUUGUUUCAUAAUUAAUUUUUGGUUUGAAGAUGGAUUUUCUAUCUCUGUCGUGCAUAGCGAACCAGAUUGUCUAAUAUCUGACGUCUCCCAUUGAUGCAACAGGACGCAAGCGGGUUCUGACCGGAUCAACUCUCCAAAUGCUUCACGUAGUUCCCAGCGGCGUAGGACUGCUCGGACCAUGUCAAUCUUCAUCUCUUUGAUUAUUUGCAUACAGGUCCACAAUAUAUAUAAAUAUAAUUGACUGAUUUCAAUUUUCUUUUGUUGAAUGUAUGCAGGAUUAUAGGUACGGAUGGACUAAGUUCAUAACAUUAGAGUAAAUGAGAUCAUUACUACUGGUAGUGUUGUUAUUUUUCCGGGUUUCAUUAUGUACUCCAUCACUGUUUUUGACCUCAGUGCUUUGUUAACACCUUCUUCGCAAAGCCAUCUCGGAACCCCAAUUCUUCGCAAAGCCACCUUCUUUUGUGUUCUUCUUUAUUAUUCAUACUCAUAUUCUUUGUGCUGGAUUUGUCAAUUUAACCUUUUGCUUUCUUCAUCCUUUUAUUAUAUAACUCGGGUUUGAUAUGUUUAAACUUAUCUUGAUACUGAUUUGUCAUGACUUUUUGAGAUUGUAAGUGUCGAGCAGGCCACAGAAUUGUUGAUGGUUUAGAUUCAUCAACCCAAAUUCGCGAUCCUCAUUUGGGGUGAAAGAAAAUCAUGAUGCUCUACAUUGACAAAAGAAAAUUCACAUACCUCAACUGUGACCAUAACCUCUUGACGGAAGAGCAUAUACAUCCCAAGGUCUUCACCAGAUGCUUCUCAAACCACAAACUGAGUUGCUACCUCUCAAUUCAUAAAUCUGACUUGGUGAGUUCUUAUCGAUCGUGGUAACCGUUCACCUUUCGGAUCAAGUAUUCCUGUGGACAAAAAGCUUAAUUUCUAGCUUCCGGCAUAAAAAAUACUGCCUUCUGACCAAGACUCUACUGAAUCAUGUGAAAGAUUUGCGUAGACCAGUCCGGUGAUUAAUUAGUAUAACCACUAUCAGAAGGACCAGUCAAUUAGGAUUGCAAAGUGGUAAAGGAACCCAAAUCAUCAGUCCAGAUUGCAAUCAGUCAACCUUGAUGCAUCUCAAACUACCUUGAUGCAAGACAACUCAAAUUGCAAUCAGUCAGGUCGUUAACAUUUCUUUAUUUUGUUGAUUCCUAUUUCUCAUAGAAAGUACCCAGUGUAUUAUAAUCAGCAUGAUUCUUUUUUAAAACAGAUCAUGUACUUCUAUGAAACAUGUAUAAUUAAUAAUUCUUCUCUGUUGUUAGCAAGCACACGUCACGAACGAAUUCCAAACAUCAAUCAUUUUCCAAUAUCAUCACAUUUUCCUAGCAUUGGUUUAUCAGCAACCACCCAAAAAAUGGCGGCCACCAUUAAAAACCAAUCUUCAAUGACAUCUCACUUUGCGAUGAACAGCUCAUCAGCUUUAUUCGGCUCCAGGGGCCAACUACUUUCUCAACUGCACCAGAAUAUCAUUGUAGGUUCUCAAACCACUUACUCAACACAGUCUUAUGAACCGAAGAUUGCUGGCUACUCAAACCGCAAUCAGUUUUAUACAUGCAGUUAUUUUAUACUCUAUUUAAGUUUCAUUUUUGGCUAACAACCAUUCUUAAUGCACAUGAUCCCAAAUUCCUAAGAUGAUAUAUUCUUUACUGUAGAUAAUGACCAAUACAGUAAAGUAUCAACAUGGCCUGCCUUAUGUCAUGCAACAUAUUUAACACCGAAGAAAAUGUAUCGUGAGGAGCAGAAGAAAUGAUUAUGUAUCCCUGACGUAGAAACUAAUUUUUCUCUCUCUAAAAGGAGAUUGCCAUGGCAAGGCUACUAAUUACGUAAAUCAUCAAGAUAAAUGGAAAGAGUCCACUUCAGCUAUGUCCUUCCCCAUAUAUGCAUCUCUUUGACGCUAUUACAAAUGUAAAAUUUGAUGGUCAAACUACUCCAAGCUAAUUUCCUCUUUAUUUUGAAUGACAAGGCUGUGAAAAAUUGAGGGACGUUGUUUAAUUAUUUAGAAGAUGAACAACCCAAGAAAAAGUUACAGUUAUGUAGUCAUGCAAGCCUACGUAUUUCAGUUUACAAUGCUGGGCAUCACUUGAAUCAUAGAUAAGUUUGCAUUUUUUAUAAGAAAGUUGCUUAGGUAUGUUUCUUAACACAGUUUCAUUGUUUAGAAUCACGAUAGGUUUUGUUGAUAUGUAUAUAUCUGAAAGGGGCUUGGCUAUUCUUUAUGUGGAAAUAACUUUUUUAGGUUUCCCUAUAAGAUGGUGUACACAAUGCAAGGCAGCGAGGACUUCUGUGGUUUAUUAGGAUCUGAACCGGUUUUAUCAUAAUUUAAUUUUCUUAGAAAAAUCUCAUUUUAUGAUCGACUCGGAGAGAAUACGCAGGCCUUCUUAAUUAGUAUUAUAGCACAGAUAAAAUACCAAGUGUUGUGAUAUAUUUGAACUUUUAGUUUUGUUUGAAAAAUACUAAGUAUUAUUUUACUCCUUGCAAGAUUACAAGUGCAUUUUUAUGUCUUUCCAAAUUGAUAUAUGUAGGUGGAUAUACUAUGUAGAAUUAAUUUACAUCUUUUUAAAUGCAAUCAUGCAUGGUCUAAUCCAACAAGAAUCCUUUAGAAAAUAAAAUGUGGACUAAAAUUUAGGGGUUGUGCAGGGCCUUUCAGGAUGAAUAGAUUAUUGUCAUUCUCAGUACAAACAACCUAGAUGAACUCAUUCUGCUCACACAUUAUAUGGAAUAUUGGCCUUGAAAACCUAUAAUGAAAUUCAUGAUGAUAAUUUAGAACCUGCAGAUUUCUUGACCACUGAUGGGGUUUCCAGAAGCAGAAGGCUUAAUUUAUUUGAAGUGUCAUGAUACAACAGAAGGAUAGGUUAAAAUAUAGCAAGACUCGAGCAAGAUUGUUAGACUCUACGAAGAUCUAGGCCUCAUGCACCCAACAAGACAUCAUAAAUCAUUACUGCACGUAUGUUGUGACAAACAGUAUGAACUUUGAGAAAGGUCUCCUCUCAAGUGAUAAUAUUUGCCGCUGAGUGAAGAGCAGAAGGCGGAACAUUUGAGGAAGUUUCUACUGGUGAUUCAGUACGUCUAAGUUUCCUGUUACUCUGUCAGGGUCGAGCUUUUGGGCCAAGAUCUGAGCCUAGAGCAGGUCGUUUUCUUGCUAUCUUUGGAGGCUGAAUGGCACAUGUUUCAGUUGGGUUAAGCCGUUGAAUGAAAAUCUCAAUACAAGAAGGUUUUUGCUGCAUUAGAUAAUGAGCAAGAACCCUCAAUAAGAGGUAUUGCAUGUUGGAGAAGUCUGAAUGCAACUGGGAUUGUUAAACUGGAGGGAAUUUUAAAGGAGGCAGAUGAGUAUAACCUGGAGAUAUAAAAAGGAGUCUUAUGUUCUUUUCACUAUUCAAGCAUCAGGCCUGCACCAAUUAUUACUAUUUGUAAUAAUACAAUUUGUAGAUUGAUCUUUUCGUGUUGAUGUUUCCUUAAUGUCUACAAAGACGUUUCGGUA